AAACCAUGCAUCGGGCAUUUUUUAAUUAACUCCUUGAAUCGCUCACAUGUUUCAUAUAAUGUUUCAUCCUUAGAUUAUUGAAAGGACAUAAUAGUUUGGCAU
Gossypium arboreum is the source of this 102-nucleotide non-coding RNA. The record is from Rfam. Lineage: Eukaryota; Viridiplantae; Streptophyta; Magnoliopsida; Malvales; Malvaceae.